UACAGAGGUCUCAAGCGUUGUUCGGAUUCAUUGGGCGUAAAGGGUGUGUAGGUGGCGCGCUAAGUCGGGUGUGAAAUUUCGGAGCUUAACUCCGAAACUGCAUUCGAUACUGGCGUGCUUGAGGACUGGAGAGGAGACUGGAAUUCAUGGUGUAGCAGUGAAAUGCGUAGAGAUCAUGAGGAAGACCAGUGCGAAGGCGGGUCUCUGGACAGUUCCUGACACUGAGACACGAAGGCCAGGGGGAGCAAACGGG
Molecule: ribosomal RNA, 253 nt
Filed under: uncultured bacterium
Lineage: Bacteria
Description: partial 16S ribosomal RNA
Rfam family: Bacterial small subunit ribosomal RNA
Source: RNAcentral